CGCGAAACUUUCUACUGCGGGACUUGCUAACUGUGCGAGUUCCUAUUGACAAUGUUUCGCAGAUGAACACGUAUAUAUUUUCACGGUGUGCGCGUCUUCCUAGUGAUCCACAUCGUCAAUUUUAUACAACAAUCUA
Molecule: small nucleolar RNA, 136 nt
Organism: Drosophila melanogaster (fruit fly)
Lineage: Eukaryota; Metazoa; Arthropoda; Insecta; Diptera; Drosophilidae
Source: Ensembl